GCAGGAUUGCUAUAUGGGAUUGCCCAUGGACAAUUCUGGUAAUCCAGAGUUUCUAAUAGACUUCACCUUUUCCCGGAAAACAUUUAACACAGAGUAAACCAACUGAUCAUGAGGCACCGGAGACUAUGUAAUGUAUGACAAGAAGUUGGAUAGAAUGUCACAGCUGCCUUGAUGUCUUCAUCACUACAAAACCACUCUCCAUGGAGAGAUUUCUUCAAAACUCAGAACAGGAAAUAAUCUGAGAGAUCCAGGUCACGACCGUGGGGUGGAUGGUUGAGCUGCUGAAACCCACAUUCUAGGAUGGUAGCCUGUGAUUGACGUAACAUUUGAACCAACUCAUUGUUGUGAAGAACCAUGACACCUGCUAUCACCCUGCAGGUCUUACAGCCAGACUGAGACAAUGACAGCUGUGGUCUCUCUCUCUCCAGCUCUCUUCCCAACCGCCAUCCUUUGGCAUUCUCCAGGAAACUGUAAGGAAAACUGAAGAAAAUAAUACCCGUAAUUUCCGGGUUUCAAAAUGGUCACCAUAACAUCACUUCCGGCAACUCCAUUUUUCAUUACUUCUUCCUGUCACCAUGGACAUCACUUUCUGUUCCUGCCAACCAGAUCCUGUUACCAUAAUGCAUUUCUCUAUAAAAACGUCAUCUUGCCAUAUACACUUUGUCAUCUGUUACUGUAUUCCAGUGUUUUUGAUCGAUUUUG
This is a long non-coding RNA of Polypterus senegalus (gray bichir), 702 nucleotides long. RefSeq lists it as uncharacterized. NCBI's taxonomy places the organism in Eukaryota, Metazoa, Chordata, Cladistia, Polypteriformes, Polypteridae. The transcript is spliced from 5 exons. The record is from RefSeq and is a predicted model, not a curated record.